GUCCACGCCCUAAACGGUGGGCAUUAGGUGUAGGGCUCGUAAGGGUUCUGUGCCGAAGGGAAACCAUUAAAUGCCCCGCCUGGGGAGUACGGCCGCAAGGUUGAAACUCAAAGGAAUUGACGGGGGCCCGCACAAGCGGUGGAGCAUGUGGUUUAAUUCGACGCUACGCGAAGAACCUUACCUGGGCUUGACAUGUAGGUGGUAAGAACCCGAAAGGGCGAUGACUUGGGGGUAACCCCUUGAGCUUACACAGGUGCUGCAUGGCUGUCGU
Molecule: ribosomal RNA, 271 nt
Filed under: uncultured bacterium
Lineage: Bacteria
Description: partial 16S ribosomal RNA
Rfam family: Bacterial small subunit ribosomal RNA
Source: RNAcentral